GUUUUACGUUUGCAAUAACAUAUGUAUCCAUUGUCCUUUUCUAGCAUCUAUAAGAAAUUAUGCUUUAACUAUUAUUACAUUUUCAAUUGUUAGCGGUCAAACAUUUUGAGAAGUAUAGGCAUGGACAAGGGCAAUAAGAGAACACAUUAGCCUUUUGUUUCCAGGGAAGAAUGUGCAAUAAAGUUUGCAUGCUUGUCCAUGUGUUGGAUGAUUUGCCAUUUAAUCUGAUAAUUUUCUAGAUGAAUCAAACAGUUUUAACUACUGCAAUGUUGAAGUUUACACCCUAGAGGGCCGAGUGAUUCGUUAUGUUCAAAAAAUGUGUUGAUGCGUAGAUUUUCCACUGGAGACUACAAGCUGACUGUUUAAUUAUGUUCACCUGAAUUAUCUUUCAUGUGAUGCAAGAAAGUUGGCUAUAAAGAUGACUGUGUAGAGUUGGAAGUGAUUUUAAAUUGCUACUAGAUACUUCAUCAUAGUUUUAUGCUGUGAAAACCAUAUUAUAUUUGAUUGGUGGCUACAUAUAGAUGCAUUAACAUAUCAAUUUUAAUCUUGGAUAGGUUGCAG
Molecule: unclassified non-coding RNA, 561 nt
Filed under: Hevea brasiliensis (rubber tree)
Lineage: Eukaryota; Viridiplantae; Streptophyta; Magnoliopsida; Malpighiales; Euphorbiaceae
Source: RNAcentral